This 21-nucleotide non-coding RNA is filed under the name Caenorhabditis elegans. The record is from RNAcentral. Lineage: Eukaryota; Metazoa; Nematoda; Chromadorea; Rhabditida; Rhabditidae.
UGUGAGAAGGGAAUUUGUCGA